RNAcentral lists this long non-coding RNA (254 nucleotides) under Hordeum vulgare. Its description in RNAcentral is "long non-coding RNA (HVUL_LNC005151)". The record is from RNAcentral. Lineage: Eukaryota; Viridiplantae; Streptophyta; Magnoliopsida; Poales; Poaceae.
UAUAGCGACUAUUUCAUCAAUCCCUCUCUAUCCUUUCUACCUUGGUAUCAACCUAACCAAUUCGACCAUAGCCGUCGCCCCCGGGGUGGUCUGUCUCCAUGACAGCUGUUGGGGCUGCGCCGCCCGUAUCUAGGGUUUGUCCGCCGAUCGUGUUGACCGUCCGUCCUAAAGAGUCUUUUUCUCGAUUUUUCGAUACAUAUUUUCUCUCUUUCGCCGGUCACUUUGAUCGUUUUCUUUUUGUUUUUCAAUAUAAG